UACGUAGGGUGCGAGCGUUAAUCGGAAUUACUGGGCGUAAAGCGUGCGCAGGCGGUUUUGUAAGCCAGAUGUGAAAUCCCCCGGGCUUAACCUGGGAAUGGCAUUUGGGACUGCAAGGCUCGAGUGCGGCAGAGGAGACGUGGAAUCCUGGUGUAGCAGUGAAAUGCGUAGAUAUCAGGAGGAACACCAACGGCGAAGGCAGCCCGCUGGGACGGUACUG
This 220-nucleotide ribosomal RNA is filed under the name uncultured bacterium. Its description in RNAcentral is "partial 16S ribosomal RNA". It matches the Rfam family "Bacterial small subunit ribosomal RNA", at positions 524 to 742 of the family's 1533-position model. The record is from RNAcentral.